GAUGAACGCUGGCGGCGUGCCUAAUACAUGCAAGUCGAGCGAACAGACGAGGAGCUUGCUCCUCUGACGUUAGCGGCGGACGGGUGAGUAACACGUGGAUAACCUACCUAUAAGACUGGGAUAACUUCGGGAAACCGGAGCUAAUACCGGAUAAUAUAUUGAACCGCAUGGUUCAAUAGUGAAAGACGGUUUUGCUGUCACUUAUAGAUGGAUCCGCGCCGCAUUAGCUAGUUGGUAAGGUAACGGCUUACCAAGGCAACGAUGCGUAGCCGACCUGAGAGGGUGAUCGGCCACACUGGAACUGAGACACGGUCCAGACUCCUACGGGAGGCAGCAGUAGGGAAUCUGCCGCAAUGGGCGAAAGCCUGACGGAGCAACGCCGCGGGAGUGAUGAAGGUCUGCGGAUCGUAAAACUCUGUUAUUGGGGAAGAACAAAUGUGUAAGUAACUAUGCACGUCUUGACGGUACCUAAUCAGAAAGCCACGGCUAACUACGU
RNAcentral lists this ribosomal RNA (496 nucleotides) under uncultured bacterium. Its description in RNAcentral is "partial 16S ribosomal RNA". It matches the Rfam family "Bacterial small subunit ribosomal RNA", at positions 28 to 506 of the family's 1533-position model. The record is from RNAcentral.